GCCGGAAUCAUCCAUUAUAUAAUGCCACAUGCAUGCAUGCAUGUGUUUUAUCAGAUAUAAAGUCACUCCUCGUGACAUAUUAUUAUGGCUGACAUGUUUCGCCACAAUUAAGGUUUAUGAAUUAUUAAUGAGUAUCUUAAUUAUAUUUCAAUAUUAAUAUUUCGGAUGAAUUAUUUGGGUGAUUUACUCCAUAGUCUUCAACGUGGACAAGUUUACAUGAAGUUCAACAUAGAACUUUCCGACGGUCGAGUUCGCAAAUCAUAUUUUGUGUCCCUAUAUGAUUGACUUUACUUACUUUUGACCAUGGUUCAGGCUUAUACACUGGUGGACAUGCAAUUUCAUUACAAUAAAUUAAACCAGGUUCUCCUGCAGUUGGUCGUGGCUCUGUGCAUUCUGUGUCAUUAACCACACAAUAAUGAUCGGUCGUCAAUCGUCUACAUUCAAUCUUCUUGCUUUGGGUUCCUUUUCCACAUGUCUUAGUGCAAGCUGUCAAGUGCGAGUGCCAU
Paramuricea clavata is the source of this 506-nucleotide non-coding RNA. NCBI's taxonomy places the organism in Eukaryota, Metazoa, Cnidaria, Anthozoa, Malacalcyonacea, Plexauridae. The record is from the annotation of a GenBank genome assembly.